UUUCUCUCUCUCUGUCUCUCUCUCACUGGCUCUCUCUUCUCCCUUCCUACCCUGCCUGCACACUCAACGCACACGGACUGACUCCCUCUCUCUCUCACUUUCUCGCUCUCUCUCCGCUUUCGCAGUUACAGAACCGAGCUUUUUUUCCCCCCUUCCUUCCUUCUCCUCCUCCUCCUUCUCCUUCUUCUCCUCCUACUCCUCCUCCUCCUCCUUCCGUGUGUUUGUGUUUUUCCGUACGUACGGAGAAACAGGUUCUGCGCUGCUAGCGUUCACGUCGAGCUCAGCCUGAAACGGGGCCCAGCGCUGCCCGAGACGCACUGGCUGCCGCUUGCCUGCUGCUGCCGUUUUUUUCCCUCCCUCUCGUCUUUUUGGUUGUUGUUGUUCUCCACAAUUUUUCUUUUUUUUUUGGUUCUUUCAAAUCUUUUCUUUUUCUUGUUACCCCUCACCUUUCCUCAAGUAGAGAUCCUUUAAAGAGAGGGAAGGAAGGGGAAGAGAGGGGAAGAGGGGGAGAGAGAGAGAGAGAGAGAGAAAGAGAGAGAGGUGUCUGUGGAAAGGGGGGAGAUGAGGAGACAGAAAAAAAAGAGGGAGAAAACGGAGCGCACGAUUUGAGAGAGGACUGGUGCUGGGCAGCAACACGAGAGGGAGGAAAAGCGAAGAGGGAAAAGGGAGGGAGAGAGAAGGAACGAGGGAUGGCCGAAUGGGAAUCGGCCGAAAUCGCGGGAAAAGAAAAAGGAAAAAAAAUGACUAGACUCGUCCGACUUAUGCCGCCGCACGCUGCUCCCCCCCCCCCCCCGACUGACCCCCAGCUCUGAGCCCCUCCCCGGGACGCUGCAAAGGGGACGCCGGGACUUCCUUUUUGGGGCGACGCUACCCGUGGUGCCCAGGAGAGAAGCAGGCCUUCAGUUUGAUCUCCCUAGAGGUGGAGGCCACCAGACAUUUUGAGAACACCAAAAGAUGGGACUGGGAAAAGGCUCCGCAUUGGAAUUUGGAAAAGACUGACAGCUGCCAACUCCUACCCCCUGUCUCUUAAUUCCACGCCCCAUACAAUCCCAAACUGGGGUCUUCAUAUUGUUGGCUGACCCAUUACAGAGCAGACGUCUCAGCCUGUCGGCAAGAAGACAGGGAAAGACUAACAGAAGGAAGGGAGGAAAUGGUCAUUUUCCACUACAAAAAUCAGGAAAUUUUACUGACAUUAUAUGAGGCUAUUUUGUGGAGUAAAGGAAACACACAGGAAACUACAGUUGCAUAUUUACACAGCAGCACCCUAUACACACACACACACACACACACUGUAUAUAUAUAUAUAUACACACACACACACACGCAGUCAUAGACAGAGAGAGAGAGAGAGAGAUUCAAUAUUCCAUUAUUAUGACAGCACAAUAUAGUAAAAAUUGUUUAUUGAAUUCUCACACAUUGUGUGCUACAUUCUUUGUCUUUUUCUCUCCAUUUGACCCAUAACAGUACAUCAGAUGUGAUUAUUUCAAUAGGUACAGCGGCCACUUGGGUUAUUUUCGCCACAAGAUCUGCAUCUCUGAGUGAUUCCCACCAAAAACUACAUUUCCCCGUAUGCCCCUCUGUCCCUGAGACCCUUAACCUGUGAGGUCAUUGGAGGUCACAGGUGAGGUCCUCGGGAACAGGGCUGCAUGCAUUUGCACAGUGAGGGAAGCAUGAGACCAGCAGCUGCUGGGAGGCCCCAUUUGGAGAUGCCACUCAAGGUGUCUUUAUCGCAAGGGCACAUUUGAGGUGCGGUUUACUCCACGGCCUCACUGUUCAACAAUUCGGUUGUUGAAAAACAGCAUUUGAAAGCACGUACAGUUUUAAGUAUCGCAGUGAAGUAGCAGAAAAGUUCUUUCCAGAAUGCCUCGAAACCAAAGCAGGAGUGUCACUUCCCCUGAGUAUCAUGUGUACUGUAUCCCCGCUUUCGUAUAGUAUUCACCACCGUUGAUAUCCUCUUAAGGUUGUGUGUGUAUGGACUGAUAGACCCUGUAAUCAGCCACAGCAAAGAAAUUGCAUAAUAAUAAAGGAGUACCACUGAAUUAUCUCCCGUUUAUUAGCAACUGAAGCAGGUAGCAGUUCACAUUGUCAUUGCUGAUGUGACUCCAGGGGGCAGACUCCAUUGGCUGACUUUGUGUUCUGACCAUGAAACGGUCCAAUGAGAAGACAGCCAAGGGUGGUGACUCCGUUUGUCUGUUAUCAACAUCCAGAUAUGUUAUAUUAUUAAAUUAAAUAAAACAACAUUUUCUCAAAAAGUC
Long non-coding RNA from Anguilla anguilla (European eel), 2255 nucleotides. RefSeq lists it as uncharacterized. Lineage: Eukaryota; Metazoa; Chordata; Actinopteri; Anguilliformes; Anguillidae. The record is from RefSeq and is a predicted model, not a curated record. The transcript is spliced from 4 exons.